CCAAACCUCCAGAUGCACAAGAAAGAAAACGGAGAAAAGAGGAGGAGGAAAAGAAAGUCCAAUAUAGAGGUAUGUCGUCUAAUGUUAACAUAGCUAGCUAAGUAGCAAUAAAGCUAAUGCUAGAUAAUGAUGCUACGAUAGCUGCUGGACUCACAUAUCGUUACAGAUUGAAGGAUAUGAGACUGAAUGACAAGCCAGUAGCGAGCUAUCUGGAUAACUGCUCCUUCCUACAACAUGCACUCAGGAAAUAUCUGCAGAAGCCUCCAGCUGCUGGAGAAGUUACAUCUGAUCUCCCAUCUACACCACUCUCUGAAGCAGAUUUGCCUGCAGGUGAAGCAACAACAGACACAACAGACACUUCUACUACUCUACAGCCUGCAGACACCAUCAACUGGAACAGAUCCUGAAGUAUGUGAGUCCAUCAAGGCAGCAGCUAUAGAUCCUGCUGACUGGCAGCCCUGUCUGAUAUGAUGAGGACAGAGAUAGUCAGCAGAGGCCAUAUCAGCUAAAAUAAGACUCUACAUUUACAAAAUGAGAGGAUGGGAGAAGUUCCCAUCACCACCACUUCUACAGAAAAUAAGCGAAUAGAGAGAAAAUCGAGAGAAGUUGGUUGGGUAUAUUCCAAGAAAAAAUUUUAAAAAAGUCUUUACUGCUUCUGCUGCAACCUGUUCUCACAAAAA
Molecule: long non-coding RNA, 680 nt
Organism: Thunnus maccoyii (southern bluefin tuna)
Lineage: Eukaryota; Metazoa; Chordata; Actinopteri; Scombriformes; Scombridae
Exons: 3
Source: RefSeq, a predicted model, not a curated record